Molecule: ribosomal RNA, 250 nt
Filed under: uncultured prokaryote
Description: partial 16S ribosomal RNA
Rfam family: Bacterial small subunit ribosomal RNA
Source: RNAcentral
UACGGAGGAUGCGAGCGUUAUCCGGGUUUAUUGGGUUUAAAGGGUGCGUAGGCGGUUUGCCAAGUCAGCGGUGACACGCAAGGGCUCAACCCUUGGCCUGCCGUUGAAACUGGCGGACUUGAAUGCGGAUGCUGUGGGAGGAAUGUGUGGUGUAGCUGUGAAAUGCAUAGAUAUCACACAGAACACCGAUUGCGAAGGCAUCUCACAAAUCCGUGAUUGACGCUGAGGCACGAAAGUGUGGGGAUCAAAC